Molecule: non-coding RNA, 1991 nt
Organism: Chiloscyllium plagiosum (whitespotted bambooshark)
Lineage: Eukaryota; Metazoa; Chordata; Chondrichthyes; Orectolobiformes; Hemiscylliidae
Source: RefSeq, a predicted model, not a curated record
GAAUACAGUCAGUUGGUUAAAGAAGAACAACAAUCUCAUGAACAAACAGAAGGAAAGUUAAAACAAGCAGAGACAUUAGCAGAAGAAAAGCUGCAACAACUUCAAGAGAAUAGAAAGGAAUUCGAAGAAAAGGCUGAGCAACUCAAAAAGUUGCAUGAGGAAAAAUUAGCCGCAGUGUUAAGAAAAAGUGCAUCAGAAAUCAGCUGCAGAGAUGAGAAGAUCAGCAAACUGAAACAACAAAUUUCAGAGAUUUUACAAGGAAAAUCUUGGGAACGACAGCAACAGAUAUAUGAAUUGAAAAAGGAAGUAACGCGAUUAUCAGAGGAAGCCAGUAGACUUCAGAGAGAACUUACGUUGCAGAAAUCUCUCAAGCAGGAAUGUAAAAGCUGCAAAUCCCUGCCAUUGAAGAGAAGACCCUACAAGUAAACUUUAUAACUAAAAUAACUGAUGAACCACAGACAUCUUCAUUGAUUUGAAGAAAAGUUUUUGCAACAAGUGCAUAGGAACACACAACAAAUAAAUUAUUUUUCACAUUUACAAAUCAGUUGGUGAAACAUUUAAACUUUUCCUUUGCUAUAACAGGAAAAAGAGAAUUCUUUCUAUUUUAUCAAAAUGUCAUUCAUAAUAUCAACAGUGAUCAGUUGCAAGCUAUCAUUCCAUCAGAAUGUAGUUUAAACUUCAUUUUAACACUGAGGACUGCAGUUUCCACAGCAAAGAAAUUAGGUGUAUUUUAUUGUAAUUAAAAGAAAAUACAAUCAUCUGUGGCCAAUCUUACAACUUCAGCCCAGAGAUUGAGGUGUCCUAAGACACAAAUUUAUUUUUACAAGAUUUUUUCAAUCAGUAGCACUAUAAAUAAAAACUUAGAUUGACUAAUUUUUCAAAAUAUAAUGGCACUAAACAUUGUGAAAGCUAAAAUUCAAGGAGCACUUUCCUUUGACUGACACAUUUAUUAAAAGUUAAUUUCAUUUCAGUUGAACUUCAAACUGUCUAAAAAUGUUAAAGUUCUUCUGUAAUAAUGAAUGUAAAUUACGUAUAAUAAAAUCAUAUCUAUCAACAUUUUGGAAUGGAAAACGUGUCAUUUUCAAAGCUUCGCUCUCUACUCAACACUUCCUUGGACUGACAGUCAAGGUGAAACUGUCAUUUUUAGAGGAUGGUCUACUCUUGAUAAUAGGCAAUGAUUGUAAACAAUAAUUGUCCAGUAAUUCCAAUUAGGUGACACAAUUAAGAGAGGCUUUACCUUUACCUACCCAGCCACAAAAAGAUUUGAAUCUUCAAAGCUACACAUUGUGAACUUAUAGAAAUACUAUCUGAUGCAGUUUGCAACUCAAGAUUCAUUUUCAUGGUAUACAAAUUAAUUUCAGAGAUAUCUAUUAUAUUUAUCAUUAUGAUUUAUUUAUAAUGUACAUAAAUCACAUCUAUGCUGUGAUGAAUGUGUUCUUAAUUUGCAUUCAAGCCAUAGCUACAAUGUUAGUACAUCUAACAGUUGAUGAUUAUGAUUAAGAUUCUAAGUAGCAGCAGAUAUCGUCAAAUGGAGCUCAUUGACAAUAUAUUUUCUUAAUUUGUUCUUUCAUGCAAUGUGAGUGUCACUAACCCUAAUUUCACCUGAGAAGAUGAUGGUGAGCUACUUUCUUGAACCACACUAAUACAUCCAGUGCAGAUACACCCAUAGUGCCAUUAGGAAGGGACUUCUAUGCAUUUUACCAUGAAAGAAUGGCAGUAUAGUUCCAAAUCAGAAUGGUGUAGGGCUUGGAGGGGAACUUGCAGUUGGUGGUGUACUAAUGCAUCUGUUGCAUUUGUCCUUCUAGCUGUGCUAUCCAACACAUGGACUUUGAUUGACUGGUUGAUCAGAGUCUCUUAGCAGUUGAUUUCACCACUCAUCUGGGUUCCCUCACCACGCUCACAUUGAAUGCAGACUUCAUCAUUUUGUUUUAUAUUAUAUUAUAUUAUAUUAUAUUAUAUUAUAUUCCCUACAGUAUGGAAACAGGCCCUUC